AGCAGAGGGCGCAGCGUUGCCAGCUGGGUGUGAUGGCAGCGGCGUGUUCUGAACACGGCAGCCCAGGCCGAGGCUUGAAAGUCCCCUAGCUGGUUACAAAUGCUCCAGUCCUGAGUCAAUCCUAGAAGAUAAACUUCUUUGAGGUAAAGGUCAUAAUACACUGAGAGUUUUGCUGUGAUAAAAAAUAAUAGAAAGUCCUCAACCACCUUUCUGUGAUAUUUAGCUCAUUCCCUUGCUGACUGACUCUGGCAGAGGGGUGGGGGAUGUCAGUGGGAGAAUCCACGUGUCUUCCAUCUUGCCCACUCCCUAGGGAAGCGGUGGAGCGCUUUUUCUCCAUCAUAGCUCAUGAUUCUCAGCUCUGGCUGCACCUUAGAACCACCUGGGGGUCUUUUACCAUCGACCCGUGCAUGGGACCCACCACUCAAGCAUCUCUGAGGGGCGUGGACCACAUACUGUAAUUUUUAUAAGCUCCUCAGGUGAUGGUGAAGCACAGAGGGUAUUAUGCUCUGGAAUUUCACACUUGGAAAUAAAGAACUGGCCCAGGUGUCCAAUUGAACUUUAGACCGUUUUGCUCUUUGCAAUCCCGAGCAGUGGGUCUUGAGACCCCCCAUCUAUCUAGAAGGAGCUGGGGACCACGUCUGGUGCAUUCUGUACAGAGCAGAGCACGUGCACGCGCACUGAGGAUGCGUCAGCGAGGUGGAAUUCAGACCUCACUCGGGCUCAGCUUUCAACCCAGCUGUAAACUCAGCGCAUCUGCCACUGGACCUACAACAGUUAAUUCUGUUAGGACACAGAGCUAAAUCCCCCAGGAGGCUUGGCCUGGAGAGGCCCCCUGAAUGGCCGCCUGCUUCAAGACCUCACCAGGAAGAAGUCCUCAACAGGAAGCAUCCUCAAUGACAGACCCCAACAGGAAGAGAUGUACAUCGCAUCCCCAACAAGAAAUCGACUGCCCUGGACACAGCCAAUGAGAAACCACCACAGCCCUGAACCGUCACUUUCCAACAGUGGAUUUUGUUCAAAACAACCACUCCCAACUUCCUCCUUUUUCUCUACAUAAUAACGUUCCUCUCCUUUGCUUGCUGGACUUGCCUGUGGCUUUUGCUAUAGCUGGCUUGUCCUCAAUUGCAAUUCCUUUGCUAUUCCUGAAUAAACCCAUUUUGUUGGUCAAGUUACUGGCCGUUUUACUUUCUUUAGGUCAAAAAGUGCCAAAUACUUAUUAUCUGACUCUUUACAGAAAUGCAAGAAAUCUGACCCCUGCUCUAGGUAGUCAAGUGUGCGUUGGUAAUGAAAGGUAAAACAUUUGUGGGCUGGCCCUGUGGCCAAGUAGUUAGUUUUGUAGCCCAGGUUCGCCGGUUCGGAUCCUGGGCGUGGACCUACUCCACUCAUCAGCCACACUGUGGAGGCAUCGCGCUUACAAAAUAGAGGAACAUUGGCAAUGGACGUUAGCUCAGGGAAAAUCUUCCUCAAGCAAAAAAGCAAACAAAAAAACCAUUUGGUAUCCCUGCUCUCAAGUCAGGCUAGACUUUGGAGAAUACCUCUUUGUGCUA
Long non-coding RNA from Equus caballus (horse), 1547 nucleotides. The record is from Ensembl. Lineage: Eukaryota; Metazoa; Chordata; Mammalia; Perissodactyla; Equidae.